RNAcentral lists this long non-coding RNA (341 nucleotides) under Mus spicilegus (steppe mouse). Its description in RNAcentral is "lncRNA (ENSMSIG00000005439.1)". Lineage: Eukaryota; Metazoa; Chordata; Mammalia; Rodentia; Muridae. The record is from RNAcentral.
CUCUUCCCAGUUCUGUGACACACAGUGUUGCUAUAGUUAUGUGAUUAUAUAUGUUCAUGUCUCAGUCCUGAUCCUCAGUAUAGUAGAAACUUCUCCAAAGAGACUACUUGCUUUUCAAUUUUGGUCGUGGUAAACUUUUAAAAAUGGGAAAUAUUUGUUUGUGUAAAGAUAUCAUCCAGACGAUAGUCCCAGAUGAAGGGACUGUCCCGAGAGAAGAGUUGGCCUUGCCAGGGAAGGUAAGUUGGCCUUCACAUUUUCCAAGGUAUUUCCAAGGGUCUUUACAAUCCCUCUAUUUUUAGUAGAUGCCAUAUUGUAAUAAUAAAAGCAAUCAUGUAUACCCA